GCAUAAUUGUAAUCAGACAACUCUCCAUUAAGAGACCAUACAAUGUAAAAGUUUAUAGUAAUAGGUACAGCCUUCAAUAAAGAACUAAACCACUCUGCAUAUCAUAUUUGAUUUUGCAAAAACCAAGAGCAUGUUUAUUUGUAGAUUUUGUCACUAUCAAUUAUAUACGUGCAUGUACUAAUGUAUUCAUGUGGUGUCCGUCCUUGAUUUGAAAUCCUCCCCCCCCAA
RNAcentral lists this long non-coding RNA (228 nucleotides) under Mytilus galloprovincialis (Mediterranean mussel). Lineage: Eukaryota; Metazoa; Mollusca; Bivalvia; Mytilida; Mytilidae. The record is from RNAcentral.